RNAcentral lists this ribosomal RNA (403 nucleotides) under uncultured bacterium. RNAcentral describes it as "partial 16S ribosomal RNA". It matches the Rfam family "Bacterial small subunit ribosomal RNA", at positions 30 to 526 of the family's 1533-position model. The record is from RNAcentral.
AUUGAACGCUGGCGGCAGGCCUAAUACAUGCAAGUCGAGCGAGCGUCGGACGGGUGAGUACUGUAUGGGGACUGCCCGUUAGAGGGGGAUAACUACUGGAAACGGUAGCUAAAAACGCAUACUAUCGGAUAACCCAUAUGGGAUUAGCUAGUAGGUUAGGUAAUGGCUCAACUAGGCGACGAUCCCUAGCUGUGCUGCGAGGAUGAUCAGCCACACUGGGACUGAGACACGGCCCAGACUCCGACGGAGGCAGCAGUGGGGAAUAUUGCACAAUGGGCGCAAGCCUGAUGCAGCCAUGCCGCGUGUGUGAAGAAGGCUCUAGGGUUGUAAAGUACUUUCGGUCGGGAAGCGUUACCGACAGAGAAAGCACCGGCUAACUCCGUGCCAGCCGCCGCGGUAAUAC